Molecule: ribosomal RNA, 253 nt
Filed under: uncultured bacterium
Lineage: Bacteria
Description: partial 16S ribosomal RNA
Rfam family: Bacterial small subunit ribosomal RNA
Source: RNAcentral
UACGGAGGGAGCUAGCGUUGUUCGGAAUUACUGGGCGUAAAGCGCGCGUAGGCGGCUUUGUAAGUUAGAGGUGAAAGCCCGGGGCUCAACCCCGGAACUGCCUUUAAGACUGCAUCGCUUGAAUCCAGGAGAGGUGAGUGGAAUUCCGAGUGUAGAGGUGAAAUUCGUAGAUAUUCGGAAGAACACCAGUGGCGAAGGCGGCUUACUGGUCCGGAACUGACGCUGAGGUGCGAAAGCGUGGGGAGCAAACAGG